CAAGUACAAAGCCAUUAAGGCAAGAGGUAAGGUAAGAUGUAGGCCAAGGGAAAGAAGAACAUUUUGAAAAGGAAAAUAUUCUGGAAUCAACAUUGUAAGAAGGAUGCACCUGCACAUUGCAAAGUGUUACGUAUUCUCCUGACCUCCCUCUAAGUAGAUCAGCCUGAGAGGGAAGAGGAGAGUACUCCUUCCUACCAGGAAAGCAUCUUGACAUUCGAGCCCAUAAACCCUUGCAUCAAACUGGAAAAGCAACCUGCCUACCAUAUGAAGACCCAAUUUCCUCUGCAACGCUUCAUGGCAACUUUGAAAUAGCUGAGUUUAAGUACAAUACAAAUUGUUCCUAAUUUACAUGAUAUUUUGAAAAAGACUGCUAUAAGUUGCUGUUUGGGGAGAAGUAGUGCAAUUCAUAACCAACUUUCCCAUACAGCACACUUCAUAAUAUUGUCAGGAUUUUGUAUUGCCGUUUUUUCGUAUCAUCUUAAAACAGAGGGAAGAAAGCAAUCUAACUUAACUCAUCCACUAGAUGGAAAGUGACAUACUGAACCAAACCAGAA
Long non-coding RNA from Chinchilla lanigera (long-tailed chinchilla), 554 nucleotides. RefSeq lists it as uncharacterized. The transcript is spliced from 3 exons. The record is from RefSeq and is a predicted model, not a curated record. Lineage: Eukaryota; Metazoa; Chordata; Mammalia; Rodentia; Chinchillidae.